AUAUCAAUAAGCGGAGGAAAAGAAACCAACAGGGAUUGCCCUAGUAACGGCGAGUGAAGCGGCAACAGCUCAAAUUUGAAAUCUGGUCCCCUGGGCCCGAGUUGUAAUUUGCAGAGGAUGCUUUUGGCGCGGUGCCGUCUGAGUUCCCUGGAAUGGGACGCCAUAGAGGGUGAGAGCCCCGUACGGUCGGACACCUAGCCUCUGUAAAGCUCCUUCGACGAGUCGAGUAGUUUGGGAAUGCUGCUCUAAACGGGAGGUAAAUUUCUUCUAAAGCUAAAUACUGGCCAGAGACCGAUAGCGCACAAGUAGAGUGAUCGAAAGAUGAAAAGCACUUUGAAAAGAGGGUUAAACAGCACGUGAAAUUGUUGAAAGGGAAGCGCCCACGACCAGACGUGGGCCCGGCGAAUCAUCCGGCGGGUUUCCGCCGGUGCACUUCGCCGGCCCAGGCCAGCAUCGGCUCCCCGCGGGGGGAUAAAAGCGGCGGGAACGUAGCUCUUCGGAGUGUUAUAGCCCACCGCACAAUGCUCCCCGGGGGGCCGAGGUACGCGCUCUGCAAGGAUGCUGGCGUAAUGGUCGUCGGCGACCCGUCUUGAAACACGGACCAAGGAGUCAACCUUAUAUGCGAGUGUUUGGGCGUCAAACCCGGACGCGCAAUGAAAGUGAACGCAGGUGAGAGCUUCGGCGCAUCAUCGACCGAUCCUGAUGUUCUCGGAUGGAUUUGAGUACGAGCAUGUAGGGUUGGACCCGAAAGAAGGUGAACUAUGCGUGUAUAGGGUGAAGCCAGAGGAAACUCUGGUGGAGGCUCGCAGCGGUUCUGACGUGCAAAUCGAUCGUCAAAUAUGCGCAUGGGGGCGAAAGACUAAUCGAACCUUCUAGUAGCUGGUUUCCGCCGAAGUUUCCCUCAGGAUAGCAGUGUUGGGCUCAGUUUUAUGAGGUAAAGCGAAUGAUUAGGGACUCGGGGGCGCUAUUUAGCCUUCAUCCAUUCUCAAACUUUAAAUAUGUAAGAAGCUUUUGUUACUUAAUUGAACGGGGGCAUUCGAAUGUAUCAACACUAGUGGGCC
RNAcentral lists this ribosomal RNA (1061 nucleotides) under Ascocodinaea stereicola. Its description in RNAcentral is "eukaryotic LSU rRNA". It matches the Rfam family "Eukaryotic large subunit ribosomal RNA", at positions 40 to 1132 of the family's 3401-position model. The record is from RNAcentral. Lineage: Eukaryota; Fungi; Ascomycota; Sordariomycetes.